Molecule: unclassified non-coding RNA, 295 nt
Organism: Macaca fascicularis (crab-eating macaque)
Lineage: Eukaryota; Metazoa; Chordata; Mammalia; Primates; Cercopithecidae
Rfam family: Metazoan signal recognition particle RNA
About the family: The signal recognition particle (SRP) is a universally conserved ribonucleoprotein. It is involved in the co-translational targeting of proteins to membranes. The eukaryotic SRP consists of a 300-nucleotide 7S RNA and six proteins: SRPs 72, 68, 54, 19, 14, and 9.
Source: Ensembl
ACUGGGAGCAGUGUCACACCUGCAGUCCUGGCUACUAGGGAGGCUGAGGUGGGAGGAUCACUUGGGCCUAGGAAUUAGAGGCUGUAGGGCACUAUGCCCGUCAGGGGUCGGCACUAAGUUCACCAUUAUGGUGACCUCCCCAGAGCAGGGGGCCACCAGGUUGCCUAAAGAGGGGUGAACUGGUCCAGUCUGGAAAUGAAGCAAGUCAAAGCUCCCAUGCUGAUAAGUAGAGGGGUGGCAUCUGUGAAUAACCACUGCACUCCGGCCUGGGCAACCUACUGAGUCCCCAUCUCUU